CCCUUAGAUGUCCUGGGCUGCACGCGCGCUACACUGACGUACGCAACGAGUGUCCUUUACCGAGAGGUAUGGGUAAUCAUUUGAGUGUACGUCGUGAUGGGGAUAGAAUAUUGUAAUUAUUACUCUUCAACGAGGAAUUCCUAGUAAGCGCAAGUCAGCAGCUUGCGCUGAUUACGUCCCUGCCCUUUGUACACACCGCCCGUCGCUCCUACCGAUGGGUGAUCCGGUGAAUGAUUCGGACUGAUGCAGCGCUCAGCUUCUGAAUGUUGCGUUGGAAAGUCUAGUGAACCUUAUCACUUAGAGGAAGGAGAAGUCGUAACA
This 321-nucleotide ribosomal RNA is filed under the name uncultured eukaryote. RNAcentral's name for it is "partial 18S ribosomal RNA". It matches the Rfam family "Eukaryotic small subunit ribosomal RNA", at positions 1470 to 1796 of the family's 1831-position model. The record is from RNAcentral.